Molecule: transfer RNA, 89 nt
Filed under: Bradyrhizobium iriomotense
Lineage: Bacteria; Pseudomonadati; Pseudomonadota; Alphaproteobacteria; Hyphomicrobiales; Nitrobacteraceae
Description: tRNA-Met
Source: RNAcentral
UUCCGGCGAGGUGCUGGGCAUCUACGGCUUCAUGGGCUGCGGGCAGCAGGAGCUGUCGCGCAUCCUGUUCGGCAAGCUGAAGCCGGACA